AAUGAACGCUGGCGGCAUGCCUUACACAUGCAAGUCGAACGGUAACGGGCCUUCGGGUGCCGACGAGUGGCGAACGGGUGAGUAAUACAUCGGAACGUGCCCGAUCGUGGGGGAUAACGAGGCGAAAGCUUUGCUAAUACCGCAUACGAUCUACGGAUGAAAGCCGGGGACCGCAAGGCCUUGCGCGGACGGAGCGGCCGAUGGCAGAUUAGGUAGUUGGUGGGAUAAAAGCUUACCAAGCCGACGAUCUGUAGCUGGUCUGAGAGGAUGAUCAGCCACACUGGGACUGAGACACGGCCCAGACUCCUACGGGAGGCAGCAGUGGGGAAUUUUGGACAAUGGGCGCAAGCCUGAUCCAGCCAUGCCGCGUGCAGGAUGAAGGCCUUCGGGUUGUAAACUGCUUUUGUACGGGACGAAAAGCCUUCUUUUAAUACAGGAGGGUCAUGACGGUACCGUAAGAAUAAGCACCGGCUAACUACGUG
Molecule: ribosomal RNA, 482 nt
Filed under: uncultured bacterium
Lineage: Bacteria
Description: partial 16S ribosomal RNA
Rfam family: Bacterial small subunit ribosomal RNA
Source: RNAcentral